Molecule: long non-coding RNA, 597 nt
Organism: Oncorhynchus tshawytscha (Chinook salmon)
Lineage: Eukaryota; Metazoa; Chordata; Actinopteri; Salmoniformes; Salmonidae
Source: Ensembl
UCUUCAGCCUCCUGAGGUUGAAGAGGCGCUGCUGCGCCUUCUUCACGAUGCUGUCUGUGUGAGUGGACCAAUUCAGUUUGUCUGUGAUGUGUAUGCCGAGGAACUUAAAACUUGCUACCCUCUCCACUACUGUUCCAUCGAUGUGGAUAGGGGGGUGUUCCCUCUGCUGUUUCAUCAGCUGCUGAUCUCAGAAUAUCCUGCAGGUGAAGAAACCGGACGUGGAGGCCCUGGGCUGAUGUGGUUACACGUGGUCAGCGGUUGUGAGGCUGGUUGGAUUUACUACCAAAUUCUCUAAAAUGACAUUGGAGGAGACGAUGGCUGAGGGGACUAAGCAGCUGUGACUCCACUCCUUCAGACCCCACUGAUCCUCUACAGUCACUCUUAUGUUCUACCUUCAUGCCUAAACGGAGUACUGUACCUUUCACUAGAACCAGGUGAUCUCUUUGUAUUCUGAGUGGAACAUCCCCUCAACUUAAAUUAACUUGUCACGCAGAACCAUUGAAUGUAGUGAAGGUAUGUAGGAAAACUAUUUUUUUGCAAAAUAUCUAUUUAACAUAGAAAUCUCCACCUUCCUGCCAAUGUUGGUUGCAAUUACCC